UGGUGCCUUCCCCUGGCCCGUGCUUUGAAUAAUUGACUAAAUGUGAGACCCGUGGGUCAAGGGCUCUGCUGUGCUCAGCUCUGCGGCCAGGCUGCCUGUGCUUAAAGGCCAGCUCCCCCAUUUGAUUCUUCCUUGCUUCACCACUGCCUGCUUACCCAUAGAAGGGGGAUGUCAACGGCCAAGCAGAAAUGGACAACUACCCUAUGCUUUCGUAGAAUUUGGCUCAUGGAUUGAUCUCAAGGCACUAUGCUCAGAAGGACUUUGACAGGAGAGUCCAGAGGUGAGGUCCAAAUCCAACAGAAGUUGUUUGUAGUUUUCGAAGCAAACCACCUGUCACCGUGCAUCAGGAAAGUGAGCAGCCUCACAAAGCAGGCGCUUCACUCCCAGCCAGUUAUUGCAAACAUUCUGCACAUUGAACUGACGCGAAGCACCCCAAGAAUAUCG
Molecule: long non-coding RNA, 444 nt
Filed under: Mus spicilegus (steppe mouse)
Lineage: Eukaryota; Metazoa; Chordata; Mammalia; Rodentia; Muridae
Description: lncRNA (ENSMSIG00000015924.1)
Source: RNAcentral